ACGCACCUUUCGGGGUGAGUGGCGGACGGGUGAGUAACGCGUGAGAAUCUGCCUAGAGGUCGGGGACAACCAUUGGAAACGAUGGCUAAUACCGGAUAUGCCUUACGGGGUGAAAGAUUAAUCGCCUUUAGAAGAGCUCGCGUCUGAUUAGCUAGUUGGUAGGGUAAAAGCCUACCAAGGCAUCGAUCAGUAGCUGGUCUGAGAGGAUGACCAGCCACACUGGGACUGAGACACGGCCCAGACUCCUACGGGAGGCAGCAGUGGGGAAUUUUCCGCAAUGGGCGAAAGCCUGACGGAGCAAGACCGCGUGAGGGAGGAAGGCUCUUGGGUCGUAAACCUCUUUUGUCAGGGAAGAACAAAAUGACGGUACCUGACGAAUCAGCAUCGGCUAACUCCGUGCCAGCAGCCGCGGUAAUAUGGAGGAUGCAAGCGUUAUCCGGAAUUAUUGGGCGUAAAGCGUCCGCAGGUGGCUGAUCAAGUCUGCGGUCAAAGACCGGGGCUUAACCCUGGAAAGGCCGUGGAAACUGAUCAAGCUAGAGUACCGUAGGGGUAGAGGGAAUUCCCGGUGUAGCGGUGAAAUGCGUAGAGAUCGGGAAGAACAUCGGUGGCGAAAGCGCUCUACUGGACGGUGACUGACACUCAGGGACGAAAGCUAGGGGAGCGAAUGGGAUUAGAUACCC
This 680-nucleotide ribosomal RNA is filed under the name uncultured cyanobacterium. RNAcentral describes it as "bacterial SSU rRNA". It matches the Rfam family "Bacterial small subunit ribosomal RNA", at positions 66 to 787 of the family's 1533-position model. Lineage: Bacteria; Bacillati; Cyanobacteriota. The record is from RNAcentral.